AUUGAACGCUGGCGGCAUGCUUUACACAUGCAAGUCGAACGGCAGCGCGGGCUUCGGCCUGGCGGCGAGUGGCGAACGGGUGAGUAAUGCAUCGGAACGUGCCCAGUAGUGGGGGAUAGCCCGGCGAAAGCCGGAUUAAUACCGCAUACGACCUGAGGGUGAAAGCGGGGGACCGAAAGGCCUCGCGCUCUUGGAGCGGCCGAUGUCGGAUUAGCUAGUUGGUGGGGUAAAGGCUUACCAAGGCGACGAUCCGUAGCUGGUCUGAGAGGACGACCAGCCACACUGGGACUGAGACACGGCCCAGGCUCCUACGGGAGGCAGCAGUGGGGAAUUUUGGACAAUGGGGGCAACCCUGAUCCAGCCAUGCCGCGUGCGGGAAGAAGGCCUUCGGGUUGUAAACCGCUUUUGUUCGGGAAGAAAUCCUCUGGGCUAAUACCCCGGGGGGAUGACGGUACCGGAAGAAUAAGCACCGGCUAACUACGUG
RNAcentral lists this ribosomal RNA (484 nucleotides) under uncultured bacterium. RNAcentral describes it as "partial 16S ribosomal RNA". It matches the Rfam family "Bacterial small subunit ribosomal RNA", at positions 28 to 507 of the family's 1533-position model. The record is from RNAcentral.